This is a long non-coding RNA of Triplophysa dalaica, 1413 nucleotides long. RefSeq lists it as uncharacterized. NCBI's taxonomy places the organism in Eukaryota, Metazoa, Chordata, Actinopteri, Cypriniformes, Nemacheilidae. The record is from RefSeq and is a predicted model, not a curated record. The transcript is spliced from 3 exons.
AUUUGGAUAAAGUACGUUAAGUUAAUAUCGCAAAAACACCAAUCGUCGUUUUAAUAAACGCCCAAAUGUCAACCAAUAUAAUUAGGCUUUAUGAAUUGUGUCGGCAAGAAUUUACAGCGAAUGUUUUCUUUCGAACGUCAGUAUUUAGGAACGGUUACAUAAAAGCGUCACUAAAGAACAACGGAAAUGAGGCGCAAAGCAAAAGCUUUAUGAAGCGAAGAGCUGUGAAGCGCGGACCUUCCACAGGAUCCACGGAAAGGUUAAAGUCUGUGCUAACAAGGGCCGGUCUUUUAUUAGAAAGCACACAUUGUACCUGAAGAGCCACGGGAAAUUAUGGGAAAUUAUAAAAAGGCACAAGCUUUUCUUCCAUCCAUCGCGCUCAAGUCCAGGAACACCUGUGAGAUAUCUCAGAAAACAAUGAAAUUCAACCCUGAGGGUGAAAAUAAAAGCACCCAGGGAAGUCCUCUGGGAUCUAGGAAAAGUGCAAUUACACAGUGUUCCCCAAACUUUCUUCAUACUGACUCCAGCUGAAGUCAUAGAUUCACAAAGAGCCCAAAUUGAUCAAGCACCUGGAAUAAAAAGGCAGUAUGAAAGACCUGAAGGCCAGACUGCAGAGACCACAAACACUCCAGCAUUACAGACAGCUCACAGAAAUACUCAGACCUUUUGUUUUAAGAACCAUCCAGCUGCUGUGCCAAACUCCACAGCACAAAACUCAAUGCACCUUCCCCCUGGUCCUUCAAAGGCAAAAAGCCAGAGCAUGUGUCGUUUAUAUGACUAAGCAAAACGCAGCUGUGAAAUCAGAGCAUGAAACUGAUGAGACGCAUCCGGUGCAUCCUGGGGGACGCUGGCACCCCUUUACUGUUAACCACUCGUAUACACGUACCAUUAGCAAGAAUGCUGACCUGCCACCAAAUAUUAGACAAUGGUGAGACAGUUACAUGUAUUUAAAGGGAUAGUUCACUUAAAUUGAAAUUCUUAAAAAAUAGUUAAAUUCACGUCAUUCACCUUUAUGAACUUCUUUCUUCUACAGAACAAAAAAUAUUUAAGACAAAUAAAAAGAUAUUUUGAAGAAUGUUGGUACCAAACAACAUUGACCCCAUUGAUAUCCAUUGUAUGGAAACAAAACCACAUUUCUCAAGAUAUCUUCUUUUGUGUUUCACCAAAGGACCAAAAUGUCAUACAGGUUUGAACUACACAAGGGCAAAUUAAUGAAUAUUAUAUUUGUGUGAGCUCUUUAGGUGCCUGUUGUAUAAGAAGGGUCACUCACUUAAUUGUGAUGAAUCAUUUUGUCUUUAUGCUGAAUGUGAAACAGCCAAUCGGAUCAGCAGCGGAUGAAGUUACAGGCGCACAACCAUUGACUAUGUCAGCCCAGAAGCAAUUCCUUCAGAAUAAAUAUUUUUGUUCAUGCGA